RNAcentral lists this small nucleolar RNA (98 nucleotides) under Theobroma cacao (cacao). RNAcentral describes it as "snoRNA snoZ103". It matches the Rfam family "Small nucleolar RNA Z103". From Rfam's summary of the family: This family consists of several snoRNA Z103 sequences which are members of the C/D class of snoRNA which contain the C (UGAUGA) and D (CUGA) box motifs. This family seems to be found exclusively in plants. Lineage: Eukaryota; Viridiplantae; Streptophyta; Magnoliopsida; Malvales; Malvaceae. The record is from Rfam by way of RNAcentral.
GUGGAGGUGAUGAUUAUUUCCCCAGAUGAUCGAAGCUGAACAAACUGUGCGAUUUUAUUCUCAUUUUCAUGAGAGUUCAAGCCAGAAAUCUGAUCCAU